AACCCUUGUCCUUAGUUUACCAGCACGUUAUGGUGGGCACUCUAAGGAGACUGCCGGUGCAAACCGGAGGAAGGUGGGGAUGACGUCAAGUCAUCAUGGCCCUUACGGCCUGGGCUACACACGUGCUACAAUGGUCGGUACAAAGGGUUGCCAAGCCGCGAGGUGGAGCUAAUCCCAUAAAACCGAUCGUAGUCCGGAUCGCAGUCUGCAACUCGACUGCGUGAAGUCGGAAUCGCUAGUAAUCGUGAAUCAGAAUGUCACGGUGAAUACGUUCCCGGGCCUU
Molecule: ribosomal RNA, 283 nt
Filed under: uncultured Pseudomonas sp.
Lineage: Bacteria; Pseudomonadati; Pseudomonadota; Gammaproteobacteria; Pseudomonadales; Pseudomonadaceae
Description: partial 16S ribosomal RNA
Rfam family: Bacterial small subunit ribosomal RNA
Source: RNAcentral